This 491-nucleotide ribosomal RNA is filed under the name uncultured soil bacterium. RNAcentral's name for it is "bacterial SSU rRNA". It matches the Rfam family "Bacterial small subunit ribosomal RNA", at positions 26 to 511 of the family's 1533-position model. The record is from RNAcentral.
AGAGUGAACGCUGGCGGCAGGCCUAACACAUGCAAGUCGAACGGCAGCACAGGAGAGCUUGCUCUCUGGGUGGCGAGUGGCGGACGGGUGAGGAAUACGUCGGAAUCUGCCUAUUUGUGGGGGAUAACGUAGGGAAACUUACGCUAAUACCGCAUACGACCUACGGGUGAAAGCGGAGGACCUUCGGGCUUCGCGCAGAUAGAUGAGCCGACGUCGGAUUAGCUAGUUGGCGGGGUAAAGGCCCACCAAGGCGACGAUCCGUAGCUGGUCUGAGAGGAUGAUCAGCCACACUGGAACUGAGACACGGUCCAGACUCCUACGGGAGCAGCAGUGGGAAUAUUGGACAAUGGGCGCAAGCCUGAUCCAGCCAUGCCGCGUGUGUGAAGAAGGCCUUCGGUUGUAAAGCACUUUUGUUGGGAAGAAAAGCCAUGGGUUAAUACCCGUGUGUUCUGACGGUACCAAAGAAUAAGCACGGCUAACGUUCGUGCCAG